GCCCUUGUAGUUUAGUGGAUAAAACAAAUCCCUCCUAAGGAUUAGCCAAAGGUUCGAUUCCUUUCAAGGGCACAA
This 75-nucleotide transfer RNA is filed under the name Candidatus Moraniibacteriota bacterium. Its description in RNAcentral is "Candidatus Moranbacteria bacterium tRNA-Arg". It matches the Rfam family "tRNA". Rfam says of the family: Transfer RNA (tRNA) molecules are approximately 80 nucleotides in length. Their secondary structure includes four short double-helical elements and three loops (D, anti-codon, and T loops). Further hydrogen bonds mediate the characteristic L-shaped molecular structure. tRNAs have two regions of fundamental functional importance: the anti-codon, which is responsible for specific mRNA codon recognition, and the 3' end, to which the tRNAs corresponding amino acid is attached (by aminoacyl-tRNA synthetases). tRNAs cope with the degeneracy of the genetic code in two manners: having more than one tRNA (with a specific anti-codon) for a particular amino acid; and 'wobble' base-pairing, i.e. permitting non-standard base-pairing at the 3rd anti-codon position. The record is from RNAcentral. Lineage: Bacteria; Candidatus Moraniibacteriota.